This 466-nucleotide ribosomal RNA is filed under the name uncultured bacterium. RNAcentral describes it as "partial 16S ribosomal RNA". It matches the Rfam family "Bacterial small subunit ribosomal RNA", at positions 338 to 795 of the family's 1533-position model. The record is from RNAcentral.
CCUACGGGUGGCAGCAGUGGGGGAUAUUGCACAAUGGGGGAAACCCUGAUGCAGCGACGCCGCGUGUGGGAAGACGGUCCUCUGGAUUGUAAACCUCUGUCAGCAGGGAAGAACGGUCACUGUGCUAAUCAGCAGUGAAUUGCCGGUACCUGCAAAGGAAGCCCCGGCUAACUCCGCGCCAGCAGCCGCGGUAAUACGGAGGGUGCGAGCGUUAAUCGGAAUUACUGGGCGUAAAGCGCUCGUAGGCGGUAUGUCAAGUCAAGGGUGAAAUCCCCGCGCUCAACGUGGGAACUGCCUUUGAAACUGGCAAACUGGAGUGUGUGAGAGGAGAGUGGAAUUCCAGGUGUAGGAGUGAAAUCCGUAGAUAUCUGGAGGAACAUCAGUGGCGAAGGCGACUAUCUGGCACAUAACUGACGCUGAGGAGCGAAAGCGUGGGUAGCAAACAGGAUUAGAUACCCUAGUAGUC